AAAGCUCUGGCGGAGAAGGAUGGGCUCGCGGCCUAUCAGCUUGUUGGUGUGGGUAAUGGCCCACCAAGGCGACGACGGGUAGCCGGCCGAGAGGGUGACCGGCCACACUGGGACUGAGACACGGCCCAGACUCCUACGGGAGGCAGCAGUGGGGAAUAUUGGACAAUGGGCGAAAGCCUGAUCCAGCAACGCCGCGUGAGGGAUGACGGCCUUCGGGUUGUAAACCUCUUUCAGCAGGGACGAAGCGAGAGUGACGGUACCUGCAGAAGAAGGACCGGCCAACUACGUGCCAGCAGCCGCGGUAAUACGUAGGGUCCGAGCGUUGUCCGGAAUUAUUGGGCGUAAAGGGCUCGUAGGCGGUUUGUCGCGUCGGGAGUGAAAACUCAGGGCUCAACCCUGAGCGUGCUUCCGAUACGGGCAGACUAGAGGUAUGCAGGGGAGAACGGAAUUCCUGGUGUAGCGGUGGAAUGCGCAGAUAUCAGGAGGAACACCGGUGGCGAAGGCGGUUCUCUGGGCAUUACCUGACGCUGAGGAGCGAAAGCAUGGGGAGCGAACAGGAUUAGAUACCCUGGUAGUCCAUGCCGUAAACGUUGGGCGCUAGGUGUGGGGACCUUCCACGGUUUCCGUGCCGCAGCUAACGCAUUAAGCGCCCCGCCUGGGGAGUACGGCCGCAAGGCUAAAACUCAAAGGAAUUGACGGGGGCCCGCACAAGCGGCGGAGCAUGCUGAUUAAUUCGAUGCAACGCGAAGAACCUUACCUGGGUUUGACAU
Molecule: ribosomal RNA, 770 nt
Filed under: Aeromicrobium erythreum
Lineage: Bacteria; Bacillati; Actinomycetota; Actinomycetes; Propionibacteriales; Nocardioidaceae
Description: bacterial SSU rRNA
Rfam family: Bacterial small subunit ribosomal RNA
Source: RNAcentral